UCGCGCUUUUUAAAGGCGACUUUAAGGCUUCCCAUCACCACACACUGCACCUCGCCGGCGAAGGGGAGAUCCAUGGCACUCACCGCCAAUCAUCUCCUUCUUGGAUUCUUAGUUCUCCAUUUCCAAGCAUUUCCCCGGAGAAAUCCAUUGCAAAUCGUUCAAGGUUCUCCACUGUAUACCCAAUCACUUCACUCGGCCAAACCACCUGCUCGUACAAUUUGUCAAUCAAGAAAUUCUGAUGUCAACACUUCAGUGGACGUAAUUGGUUCUGAAAUUUGCCCAUUGACACAUGAUCAUCACAUGAAAGAAAAGGUAGCCAAUGCCACGUCCAUCGUUAGACAAGAUUUGUUAUAAUCUGAAACUACAACAAUAGUGGGGUAAAUAAUGUUGAUGAGACAAUGAAAGAACCAAUUUCUUCUAAAAUGAAGGUUGCUCAAGUUAUCAAUGGAGAAUCCCAUAAAGGGGAAGGUAUGAGUCUUGGUGCUAGUUUAUCAAAAAUUAGACACUGUUUUAAGUUUCGAUGUACUUGAACCUGAGAUUGUUAUUGUUUCGGAAGCGAUAAAUCUCAACUUGGAAAACAGUGGACUUGUCCAAUUUGGUUAUGAAAACUGUGGAAGUAGAGAUGUGUAUAAACUAUAAAGGUAUGUUAGAAUGAGUGAAUAACCAUAUCCUGUUUUUAACUUGACAAGCCUUCUCAAUGCUCACUAUGGUUUGAAUUUGGUAUUUUGCAAAUUUAGGGGUUUCCUAAUUCAUAGUUUGUAUAUGUGUUUCUUUAUUGUUUUUUCUGAGUCUAAUUCAAUUGCCUUAGCUGUUUCCUUUCUCUUUUUUCUUACCCAUUGCAUUGCAUCACUGUAACUCUACAGUGGACAUUGCUUGGCGACUUGUUAGUUGAUACUUGAUAACUAAACCAAUAAGAAGCUAUCUCAGCAGUGUCACUUUUCAUGGAGCGAUGUUUAAAGAAUUUUCACUACACAGUUGGUCAUUCUCACUAAGAACGGAGAGAGUUGUAGAUGUUAAUUCAAACUUGCUUGGUAAUAAUGCUUGGGUGUGAUGGAAAAACUUAGAGUUUAAGAAUAUUUGGAGUGCUAGGUUCACUAGAACCAUAGGUGCUGCUGUGCUUCUGUGGCUUAGAGAUGCAUUUUACAACUUGUGACUGUACUUUGUAUCUGUUGUUCGGGGUAAUUAUAUUUCAAAUUGUUCACAUUGUCCUGCGGAGCUCAAAGCUAGGAGCCUUGGACAGUCUCCACAAGCAUAAUACGGAGUAGAUUUUUUCCAUGUCACGCAUAGAAGGUUUUAGUAUAAGUAGUAAAAUGGAUGAUGCUUUGACAUCAGUAGUCAAUUUCUAUCUUGUUAGGUGCUUCCGGUAGUUGAUGGUGUUACUCACCUCUUCUUUUCUUUUGAGUUUCAUGAUUAAUUCUUAUAGUUCUUUGAAAUUGCUAUUCUGGUGGAAAUCGCUGUAAUUAUCUGGUAAUUAUGCAAUGUAAAAGAUGAACUUAAGGUUUUGAUAAGCGUUUGUGCAACGUCGAUUCAGUUCUUUUUCUUUUUUUUUUUGGCUCCAUUCAAUGAUGUCAACUGGGACAUCAUUUCUCAGUAGGUUCAAGUUCAAUAUUUUUCUCUUUCAUGCUCACUUUAUGCGGGACAGUUUCUUAAAUUGUCAUAGGCAGACUGUCAUUUUAAAGUUAGAAAGUUCAUUUGCGUCUAUGUUAUCCAUUCAGACAAUGAAUUUUGGCCCGAGCAGAUAGUGUCUCCAAGUGCGUAGACAGUGGGGUUUGAGACUUAAGAUCAUGUUCACUGGAAGAAAAGUUGUUUUCAGGACUGGAAUUCAACCCUAUUCUUGCGGUGCUGCUCUGAUACCUUGGAUUUAUGCUUGUUAUCGCACUCAUGGAAAUGUUGAUUUUUUUGCUUGUACCGCGUUCUAUCUAGACUCUAGUCUAUGGAAACAUUGAUUUAUGCUUUAACUGACGUAUUUUUAUCAUAACCUGAAAUCUUUUGUUGUUCAAGUUUGUUCUGGUUUUAGUUGGAGUAACAAAAUUGGUUUUUUAAGUUACUUGCUUCGAACAAGUUAGCAUUUUGUAACUGAAAAGAUUGUGGGACAUGCAAUGGAUUGCAGUAUACCAUACGCAAAGGCUUGGGGAAGGUGCAUUACAAAGUGGAAGUUACACAUUGAAAAGAUGAAACGCGAUGUUGGAAGAGAAGAUGCGGCCAUAGAUUCAGAACAUGGACUAUGGUGUUCUUCCUUAGCAUGGCCAUCACAAUGCCACCGACAAAGAAUCAGGAAAAUAAACAGGUAUUGCGCCUCGUGGUUUCAUGUGCUGCAUCAGAGACCAGGGAAAAAAAAAAUCCUCGGCAAUGGAUAUGGUGGUUCUUUUGAUGGUUUCAGCGGCGUGCUUUUGAAGCACUCUCUCGACAUGGGCCUUUUGUAACCAAGUGCUGGUCUUCUAUCUUUCCAAGACCUUUGUUGUUUCAUUUCUGGUUUCUUUAUUCAGCUGCCUUUUGUAGUUCAAUAUUUCCCACUUCUUCUUUCUUUUCUUUUGUCUUGGUUCAA
This is an RNA transcript of Rhododendron vialii, 2545 nucleotides long. RefSeq lists it as uncharacterized. The transcript has 5 exons. NCBI's taxonomy places the organism in Eukaryota, Viridiplantae, Streptophyta, Magnoliopsida, Ericales, Ericaceae. The record is from RefSeq and is a predicted model, not a curated record.